CACGUAGGCGGGUUGUUAAGUCGGGGGUGAAAUCCUGGAGCUCAACUCCAGAACUGCCCUCGAUACUGGCGAUCUUGAGUCCGGGAGAGGUGAGUGGAACUGCGAGUGUAGAGGUGAAAUUCGUAGAUAUUCGCAAGAACACCAGUGGCGAAGGCGGCUCACUGGCCCGGUACUGACGCUGAUGUGCGAAAGCGUGGGAGCAAACAGGAUUAGAUACCCUGGUAGUCCACGCUGUAAACGAUGGAUGCUAGCCGUUGGCGAGCUUGCUCGUCAGUGGCGCAGCUAACGCUUUAAGCAUCCCGCCUGGGAGUACGGUCGCAAGAUUAAA
Molecule: ribosomal RNA, 328 nt
Filed under: uncultured bacterium
Lineage: Bacteria
Description: bacterial SSU rRNA
Rfam family: Bacterial small subunit ribosomal RNA
Source: RNAcentral